GUUAAAUAGAAGUGGGAAAGUGGACAUACUUUAUUCCUUUUAUUUUUCACCCCUCGUGACAGAUGGUGUUAACUUUUUUUGGUGGAUGCUCUUUGUGGUUGAGUAUUUUUAUCAGGAAAUGGUGUUGAUUUUGUUAAAUGCUUUCUUUCGAUGCCUAUUGAGAUAAUCAUGUGGUUUUGACCUUUAUUCUACUAACAUGGUAUAUUGUAUUGAUUGAUGUUUAUAUUUUGAACCUACAUUUCAAGCCUGGGAUGAACAGUGUGUGCUGUGUGGAUGUACUGAAGUAUCACAAUGGACCCCAUUGUAUCAGUUAAGGUUCAUUAGAGGAACAGAUUUGAUUUACAAGGUGGGCCUACAGUGGCUGCCUGCAGAGUAAGGAGAAUGCAAGAGGGCUGUCUGCACUCUGGAGAUCAGCAGAAUCCAGUCAAAGUCAGGGGCCUGGAGCUCACUGUAGAGUCCUGCACAAGUUUGAAUUGGGAAGCCAAAGGACCUGAGCCAGGAGACUGAAGAGCCUGCACUGGAAGCUUGGAGACAGACGUCCGAAGGUGAUGGUGAAGACUGCAGUGCCCCUGAAGAAGCCAGACAUUUCUUUCCCUGUUUAUUCCAUCCAGGCUGCAAGUCUAUUGGUUGAUGUGACCCACACCCAAGUGAUAACAUAGCUAAGGAAGAAAUAACCAGCUCUGCCACUAGAUCGCCUGAAUUCAAAUCCCAGCUCUACCAUUUACUAACUGUGGAAUCUGGAAUGAUGCUGUCAGAACUGCCAACAGUCUGGAUUGCACAUGCUGUGUGGGCACAGUCUCACCAGUGACCAGGAUGUGGAACUCUGAGCAAAAACCCUG
RNAcentral lists this long non-coding RNA (839 nucleotides) under Heterocephalus glaber (naked mole-rat). RNAcentral describes it as "lncRNA (ENSHGLG00000025218.2)". Lineage: Eukaryota; Metazoa; Chordata; Mammalia; Rodentia; Bathyergidae. The record is from RNAcentral.